RNAcentral lists this transfer RNA (71 nucleotides) under Camelus ferus (Wild Bactrian camel). It matches the Rfam family "tRNA". Rfam says of the family: Transfer RNA (tRNA) molecules are approximately 80 nucleotides in length. Lineage: Eukaryota; Metazoa; Chordata; Mammalia; Artiodactyla; Camelidae. The record is from Rfam by way of RNAcentral.
GAGGACAUAGCUCAGUGGUAGAGUGCAUGCUUAGCAUGCAUGAGGUCCUGGGUUCAAUUCCCAAUACCCCA